AGCAGCCGCGGUAAUUCCAGCUCCAAUAGCGUAUAUUAAAGUUGUUGCAGUUAAAAAGCUCGUAGUUGAAUUUCGGGAUCAAUUUAUUGGUCGUGCUAUUGUACGUACUGGUAUUAUUGAUUCCUACCUUCUGACGAACCAUGAUGUCAUUAAUUUGGUGUCAUGGGGAAUCAGGACUGUUACUUUGAAAAAAUUAGAGUGUUUAAAGCAGGCUCACGCUUGAAUACAUUAGCAUGGAAUAACGAAAUAGGACGUUUGAUUCUAUUUUGUUGGUUUCUAGGAUCGACGUAAUGAUUAAUAGGGAUAGUUGGGGGCAUUAGUAUUCAAUUGUCAGAGGUGAAAUUCUUGGAUUUAUUGAAGACUAACUACUGCAAAAGCAUUUGCCAAGGAUGUUUUCAUUAAUCAAGACGAAAGUUAGGGGAUCGAAGACGAUCAGAUACCGUCGUAGUCUUAACCAUAAACUAUGCCGACUAGGGAUCGGAUGAUGUUAAUUUUUUAAUGACUCAUUCGGC
Molecule: ribosomal RNA, 512 nt
Filed under: uncultured Glomus
Lineage: Eukaryota; Fungi; Glomeromycota; Glomeromycetes; Glomerales; Glomeraceae
Description: SSU rRNA
Rfam family: Eukaryotic small subunit ribosomal RNA
Source: RNAcentral